GCAAGUCGAACGACUCAUUAUUUCGUUGAUGAGAAGUGGCAGACGGGUGAGUAACGCGUGGGCAACCUACCUCUCAGUGGGGGAUACCAAACCGAAAGGUUGGUUAAUACCGCAUAACACAGAUAUGUCAAAGUCGGGGAUCCGGGAAACUGGACCUGACGCUGGAAGAGGGGCUCGCGUCGGAUUAGCUUGUUGGUGAGGUAACGGCUCACCAAGGCGACGAUGCGUAGCCGGCCUGAGAGGGUGAUC
This 249-nucleotide ribosomal RNA is filed under the name uncultured bacterium. Its description in RNAcentral is "partial 16S ribosomal RNA". It matches the Rfam family "Bacterial small subunit ribosomal RNA", at positions 57 to 305 of the family's 1533-position model. The record is from RNAcentral.